UUUCCCAGGGACCAGCAUCUACAUAAACCAACGAUAACUACAACCAAAUAAACUAGCAAAAGCCGUCCGAAGAUAUACUAGAGUGAAAUUUGAAGUUAUGUGGAUGCAUACUUAAACUGAUGUACUUCUUGGAGUAAGACGACAAGAAUGGUUUUCUUGCGAAUUCGGAGAAACUAAUAUGCCGCACUCGUCACCCUUCUCGCUUACGAGUUAAGCGCGCGGCUAAAGCUUUCGCACGUAGUUUCUUCGUUGUGUGUGUAGUGAUUUCCAAACUGGGGAAAUAAAAACAUUAUUCUGCUGCGAUCCACACUGCCGUUUAACAGUCGUCGUAUCAAAAUGUACCCAAAGUAUCAAUUUUGAGUCUCUUUAUGAGAUUUUCCAUUUUCUUUGUUUUAUUAAAGAUUAAAUUCCGUACUAGCUAUUCAUCUUAGUUCUGUAUUGUAUAGACGUUAAGAGAAAAACAAACAAUGUAUAUAAUGACCCAUAAUUAAAAUCUGCGCAAGUGAAAGCCACAUAGUUUUAAGAUCAGCCGUUAAGUUGCAAAUCGUCGUCGAACUGAAUAUGUUCCCACGUCGCCCCUUGAGCUCAACGGACACGCCGGAUAUUUCGUAUAAAGUAUGAGUGAGUUACGAGCUUCCUUAAACGGAGAUCUCGAGUAUUUUCGAAGUAUAUAUAUACGUCUUGUAAAACUUCUAUUGCGGUAUGUUGAACAACCAUAUACAUACGUGCGAUAAUAAAAGCCGAUCGGCUAGUAAUUUUUCUUUCACGUUUGCCUUCUUUUUAUAUUAUUAUCCUAUUUUUUUUUAUUCUUUCCAAUUUAAUUUCUUUUACGCCAUAUUCUCUACACCUAAGUCCUAUAUACAUAUACAUAUACAUUUAUAACUAGAUAUAAAUUGUUAUUAUUUCCUCUUUCUUUAUCUGAUUAAGUUGUAUUAAGUUUAUGCAUAUCCAGAAAAUCAUGAAGUCCAAACCCGUAAAUUUUGAAUUAUUAAAUAAUAAUUAGUAGAUAAUAAUGGAACAUUAAA
Long non-coding RNA from Drosophila pseudoobscura, 1025 nucleotides. RefSeq lists it as uncharacterized. The record is from RefSeq and is a predicted model, not a curated record. The transcript has 2 exons. NCBI's taxonomy places the organism in Eukaryota, Metazoa, Arthropoda, Insecta, Diptera, Drosophilidae.